RNAcentral lists this ribosomal RNA (498 nucleotides) under uncultured bacterium. RNAcentral describes it as "partial 16S ribosomal RNA". It matches the Rfam family "Bacterial small subunit ribosomal RNA", at positions 28 to 507 of the family's 1533-position model. The record is from RNAcentral.
GAUGAACGCUGGCGGCGUGCCUAAUACAUGCAAGUCGAGCGAACUUUCGGGAGCUUGCCUCCACUAGUUAGAGGCGGACGGGUGAGAAACACGUGGGUAUCCCCCCUGUAAGAGACGGAUAAAACCGGGAAAACGGAGCUAUUACCCCAUAACAUUGUAUACAACACAGGCUUCAAAAAAAAAAUGGCUUUUUGCUACCACUUACAGAUGGACCCGCGGUGCAUUAGCUAGUUGGUAAGGUAACGGCUUACCAAGGCGACGAUGCAUAGCCGACCUGAGAGGGUGGUCGGGCACACUGGGACUGGAGCACGGCCCAAACUCCUACCGGGGGCAACAGUAGGGGAACUUCCGCAAUGGGGGGAAGGCCUGCCGGGGAAAGCCGCGGUGAGUGAUGAGGGCUUUGGGUUGUAAAGCCCUUUUGUUUGGGGAGGAAAAGUUUCGUACGAAUAGGGCGGUACCUUGACGGUACCUAACCAGAAAGCCACGGCUAACUACGUG